RNAcentral lists this ribosomal RNA (253 nucleotides) under uncultured bacterium. RNAcentral describes it as "partial 16S ribosomal RNA". It matches the Rfam family "Bacterial small subunit ribosomal RNA", at positions 524 to 776 of the family's 1533-position model. The record is from RNAcentral.
UACGUAGGGACCAAGCGUUGUUCGGAUUUACUGGGCGUAAAGGGCGCGUAGGCGGCUUAACAAGUCACUUGUGAAAUCUCCGGGCUUAACUCGGAACGGCCAAGUGAAACUGUCAAGCUAGAGUGCAGAAGGGGCAAUCGGAAUUCUUGGUGUAGCGGUGAAAUGCGCAGAUAUCAGGAGGAACACCGAUGGCGAAGGCAGCUCGCUGGGACGGUACUGACGCUGAGGCGCGAAAGCGUGGGGAGCAAACAGG